This 74-nucleotide transfer RNA is filed under the name Chlorogonium euchlorum. Its description in RNAcentral is "tRNA-Met". It matches the Rfam family "tRNA". Rfam says of the family: Transfer RNA (tRNA) molecules are approximately 80 nucleotides in length. Their secondary structure includes four short double-helical elements and three loops (D, anti-codon, and T loops). Lineage: Eukaryota; Viridiplantae; Chlorophyta; Chlorophyceae; Chlamydomonadales; Haematococcaceae. The record is from RNAcentral. RNAcentral also lists the same sequence under 1 other name.
GCACCGUUGGCCGAGCGGAAAAAGGCAAACGACUCAUAAUCGUUCCUAGAUAGGUUCAAUUCCUAUACGGUGCA